GUCUGCUUGAAGAUAUAAGAAGUCUAGCCUGCUCUCUGAUAAGUUUAAGGGCCGCGGUAAUCUGACCGUGCAAAGGUAGCAUAAUAGUUAGUUUUUUAAUUGGAAUCUUGUAUGAAUGGUUGGACAAAAGAAAUACUGUCUCUAUAACUUUAUUUGAAUUUAACUUUUAAGUGAAAAGGCUUAAAUAUAUUAAAAAGACGAUAAGACCCUAUAAAGCUUUAUAAGAAAUUUUUAUUUAGUUAAUGUAAAUAAUAAAAUCUUAAUAUUUAGUCUUAUUUUAUUGGGGAGAUAAAAUUAUAAUUUAAUGUAACUGAGUUUUAGUGAAACAAAGAUAAAUGUUUGUAAUAGUUAAAAGAUCCUAAAUAUGGAUUUUAAGUUCAAGUUACUUUAGGGAUAACAGCG
Molecule: ribosomal RNA, 402 nt
Filed under: Austinixa felipensis
Lineage: Eukaryota; Metazoa; Arthropoda; Malacostraca; Decapoda; Pinnotheridae
Description: partial 16S ribosomal RNA
Source: RNAcentral